UACGUAGGGAGCAAGCGUUGUCCGGAAUCAUUGGGCGUAAAGCGCGCGUAGGUGGCCCCAUAAGUCCGCUGUGAAAGUCAAAGGCUCAACCUUUGAAAGCCGGUGGAUACUGUGGGACUAGAGUACGGAAGAGGCGAGUGGAAUUCCUGGUGUAGCGGUGGAAUGCGCAGAUAUCGGGAAGAACACCCGUGGCGAAGGCGGCUCUCUGGGACGGUACUGACGCUGAGACGCGAAAGCUAGGGGAGCAAACGGG
This 253-nucleotide ribosomal RNA is filed under the name uncultured bacterium. RNAcentral describes it as "partial 16S ribosomal RNA". It matches the Rfam family "Bacterial small subunit ribosomal RNA", at positions 524 to 776 of the family's 1533-position model. The record is from RNAcentral.